Molecule: ribosomal RNA, 255 nt
Filed under: uncultured bacterium
Lineage: Bacteria
Description: partial 16S ribosomal RNA
Rfam family: Bacterial small subunit ribosomal RNA
Source: RNAcentral
UACGUAGGGUGCGAGCGUUUGUCCGGAAUUAUUGGGCGUAAAGGGCUCGUAGGCGGUUUGUCGCGUCGGGAGUGAAAUCCACUGGCUUAACUGGUGGCUUGCUUUCGAUACGGGCAGACUGGAGGUAUGCAGGGGAGAACGGAAUUCCUGGUGUAGCGGUGAAAUGCGCAGAUAUCAGGAGGAACACCGGUGGCGAAGGCGGUUCUCUGGGCCGAUAUUGACGCUGAGGAGCGAAAGCGUGGGGGAGCGAACAGG